This 450-nucleotide ribosomal RNA is filed under the name uncultured bacterium. Its description in RNAcentral is "partial 16S ribosomal RNA". It matches the Rfam family "Bacterial small subunit ribosomal RNA", at positions 354 to 796 of the family's 1533-position model. The record is from RNAcentral.
GUGGGGAAUUUUGGACAAUGGGCGCAAGCCUGAUCCAGCAAUGCCGCGUGCAGGAAGAAGGCCUUCGGGUUGUAAACUGCUUUUGUACGGAACGAAACGGUCCUGGCUAAUAUCCGGGGCUAAUGACGGUACCGUAAGAAUAAGCACCGGCUAACUACGUGCCAGCAGCCGCGGUAAUACGUAGGGUGCGAGCGUUAAUCGGAAUUACUGGGCGUAAAGCGUGCGCAGGCGGUGCUGUAAGACAGGCGUGAAAUCUCCGGGCUCAACCUGGGAAUUGCGCUUGUGACUGCAGUGCUGGAGUGCGGCAGAGGGGGAUGGAAUUCCGCGUGUAGCAGUGAAAUGCGUAGAUAUGCGGAGGAACACCGAUGGCGAAGGCAAUCCCCUGGGCCUGCACUGACGCUCAUGCACGAAAGCGUGGGGAGCAAACAGGAUUAGAAACCCUGGUAGUCC